Prunus avium (sweet cherry) is the source of this 1180-nucleotide non-coding RNA. NCBI's taxonomy places the organism in Eukaryota, Viridiplantae, Streptophyta, Magnoliopsida, Rosales, Rosaceae. The record is from RefSeq and is a predicted model, not a curated record.
AUUCUGAAGAGUUGUGGGAGAAAUUCAGAGCAGGGUUUGUUGUUGUUGUCUUUCUGAUAGUAACACUCGCCAAGUCUCCAAAUUGGCUGUGGCGUGCUACAAAGCCCUCCUAUUUUCCCUACCAAUACACCGCGUUUCAACUUUUUCACCAUUGAUGAUCCUAGAGCUCGCCUAGUGACCGCCUAGCAACCGCCUAGACCGCGGGCCAGCCUAGCGACCGCCUAGACCGCCCAGCGCCCGCCUAGUGACCGCCUAGCAACCGCCUAGACUGCCUAGCCUGCCUAGCCCCCGCCUAGCCCCAGCCUAGCCCCAGCCUAGCCCGCCUAGGCCAUUUAUUCCGUAAUAUUAACAAUAUGAGUGAGUGUGUUCAACGAUUUAACUUGUAAAGAAGAUUUCCGAACAACAACAGAUAACCCAGAGAAGUUUCAAGGAGUUAUCACAAUGGUGGCUCUUGGCCAACACUGCUGUGGUUGCUUACUGCAGCAUGUAUCAAGACGGGGAGGCCUCAGACUGCUAUAUGAGAGCAAUUGAACAGGUGGAGCAACGGCUCUCAAAAGACGGGUGGCCAGAAUACUAUGACGGCAAGGCAGGGAGAUAUGUCGGGAAGGAAGCGAGGAAGUACCAGACCUGGAGCAUCUCAGGAUAUCUGGUAGCUAAACUGAUGAUCGAGAACCCAGCCAAUCUUUCACUAAUCCCUCUUGAAGAGGACAAGAAGAUAGCCAAGCCAAGGCUCACCCACUCCGCUUCCUUUUGAGUCAAACCAGUGGCAGCAGCAUACAUGAUGCAUUACAGGAAAUUUGUUGAAGUUGAUAUGAGGAAGUUCACAUUACUAGCAAAGGGUAGCUACGUCCUCAUCAUCACCAUCUUCCUCACACCCAUCUUGGACGUCUCCUCAUGUUUUACUUAGUGAUGCAAGGAGUUCAAUACAUCAAGGAGUUUUGUAAUUGUGAACUUUUGUUCUUUAUACUAUCCUGUUCUAUUUUGUUGUGCAUAAUGGAUGAACUCAAUAUUUUUCAGAGAGGAACAAUUAAGAGAUAAAGCUGUGAAGCAUUUAAGGCGCAUAAAUUGCAAGGAGUAUGGAUACAUGUAAAAAAACAAAUAAAGGAAAUUUGUACUGGAUAAUUUGUCUUUGUGCCAAAAUCAUGAGUUGCUUAGGUGAAAUACAAAUCUGUUUUUAUUA